This 322-nucleotide ribosomal RNA is filed under the name uncultured eukaryote. RNAcentral describes it as "partial 18S ribosomal RNA". It matches the Rfam family "Eukaryotic small subunit ribosomal RNA", at positions 1470 to 1796 of the family's 1831-position model. The record is from RNAcentral.
CCCUUAGAUGUUCUGGGCCGCACGCAUGCUACACUGAGUGGAUCAGCGGGUCAGGUUGCGCGAAAGUGUUUCCUAAUCUUGAAAUCCGCUCGUGAUGGGGAUUGACGGUUGCAAUUUUCCGUCAUGAACGAGGAAUACCUUGUAAGCGCGGGUCAUCAUCCCGCGCUGAAUACGUCCCUGCCCUUUGUACACACCGCCCGUCGCUCCUACCGAUUGAGUGGUCCGGUGAGGCUUUGGGAUCUGAGCGGAAAGAGCGUUUCGCUGUUUCUGCUCGGAAAACUCAGUCGAACCUUAUCAUUUAGAGGAAGGAGAAGUCGUAACA